AGCCCCGUCUUCUAGUGGCCUAGGAUACAGGGCUCUGGUCCCUGCGACCGGGGUUCGAAUCCCCGCGGGGCUA
This 73-nucleotide transfer RNA is filed under the name Nanobdella aerobiophila. RNAcentral's name for it is "tRNA-Gln". It matches the Rfam family "tRNA". Rfam says of the family: Transfer RNA (tRNA) molecules are approximately 80 nucleotides in length. Lineage: Archaea; Nanobdellati; Nanobdellota; Nanobdellia; Nanobdellales; Nanobdellaceae. The record is from RNAcentral.